GCAGUAGCCGCGGGAAUACGAAGGGGGCUAGCGUUGUUCGGAUUUACUGGGCGUAAAGCGCACGUAGGCGGAUCCUUAAGUCAGAGGUGAAAUCCCAAGGCUCAACCUUGGAACUGCCUUUGAUACUGGGGAUCUCGAGUUCGGGAGAGGUGAGUGGAACUGCGAGUGUAGAGGUGAAAUUCGUAGAUAUUCGCAAGAACACCAGUGGCGAAGGCGGCUCACUGGCCCGAUACUGACGCUGAGGUGCGAAAGCGUGGGGAGCAAACAGGAUUAGAUACCCCAGUAGUCCCUGUCUCUUAUAC
Molecule: ribosomal RNA, 302 nt
Filed under: uncultured bacterium
Lineage: Bacteria
Description: partial 16S ribosomal RNA
Rfam family: Bacterial small subunit ribosomal RNA
Source: RNAcentral